This is a long non-coding RNA of Wyeomyia smithii (pitcher-plant mosquito), 2379 nucleotides long. RefSeq lists it as uncharacterized. The record is from RefSeq and is a predicted model, not a curated record. The transcript has 3 exons. Lineage: Eukaryota; Metazoa; Arthropoda; Insecta; Diptera; Culicidae.
AGUUGCAGAUCAUGAGAAGUUAGUGUUAGUUAUCGGAUGUUUGUUUUCGUAACGGAACCGGAAUUGCGUGCUUAAAAAAAUAAAGCUGAUAUUUAACUUAACCUUCUAGCUGAUAGACAGUGUGCAGCACAAUUUGGAGUUACCGCUACGAUCCUGCAGGCUCUACCGGUUUCCUUCAAUCAAUUUACGAACGUAUGAUGACUGGCUUGUUAGAACAGUUGCGUACUUUGAUAUUAGCCAGAAGACUCACAUUGUGUGCUUAUGGACGGAAAAAUCAAAAACAUAAAGACAAAAAUAGUAAACAGCAAUCGAAAAGAAUACGUUCUGUAUCUGUCUCAUAAGUGAUAUUUAUAUAGUCUCUAGACUCGUGCCGUAUCCUUCCGGUAGAUGGGGAAUGAGCCGUAAUCACAUGUUAUCUGACCUGGUAUAUCCAAUAAUGCCAAGGGAUAACAAACAUAGGAAGUAGGAUUUCGGACAGAACACGGAGCAAAAACCGACACCAAAUCCGGCAGCCGAGAAGUAAAACGAGAUAUAUGGUAACCUCUUGAAACAUCUGAUAAGCACUGCUAAAAUAUAAAAUCAAUUUCCUGAAAUCGCAGCUUUUCAAUUCAUAUCGAAUAGGAUACGUAUCUGUUGGAUUUGGCACUCAACUCCUAUAGAAAUCGGCGUUUUCGGGGCAACCGUUUAAUGAACUGUAUCCGCGAUGCAUCGGUGGUUAAGCUGGAGCCUAACCUGAAAGCUGUAACCAGCUGGAAGCGCAUGGGAAAAUGCACACACACACAAUUUGGUACCGGAAAUGGAGGCGGUUGGCUUAUUUUCUCUACAUGCUGUUGCUGUGUCACGUUUCGCGGCGAAACGGAACGGUUGAAUCCAAUAUAAAAAUAAUUCACUAUUUAUGUUUGUUUUACGGCUUCUUUAUUUAUUGAAAAAAUUCCUACUGUGAAACCGAAAUGUAGCCGUUUGCUGUGUGGCAUAAAGAGCAUCGAGUAUACUGAUGAUUCAUUUAAACCAAGCACCAUUCAUCGGUUUAUACUGAACCACUCAGUCAGGGGGCGGUGGUGAUAAAAUUGACAAAAUAAAAUUGAUAUUUCAUUUAUAAAUAAACAAGUGAUUGGAAAAAUAAAAUCGGUUCAAGGCGCUGAAUGAUUCACAGCCGAGAAAAGUAAAUAAAAAUAUGUUCGGAUCUGUAUACAACAACAAUCGAACUGGUGGAGGAAGAAAAAAUAAUUGAUCUCAUAAUGAUUAAAGCCAUGCGACUCAACGUUUUUAGUUAUUAUUUUUGAAAAAAAAACAAAGUUUCAAUUUUUAAUAUAUUUUACGUCUAAAAACGAAAAGGAAGUGUCAUUCAUAGUUAUGUUUCAUGUCUACAUUGUGGCGAAAUUAGAAUAAAAAGUAAUUUAGUUAUUUGCAUUUCCACAUUAACAUUUAAAUAUCAGUUAUAGAUGAGAUUUAAAAAGAAAGAACAAUUAGAGGCGCUUCAUAAAAAUAUGUCGGUUUAUUAUAUUCAGGGAUUAAAACGUCUCUGAAAAAAAUAACAACAAUAAUUUCAACAAAUGUUGUUUUUCAAGUCGCGAAAAAUUCAAACUCUUCAACACGAUGUUUUAAAAACAAAAUUGAAACUACGUUCACUAACGAGCAUUGCUACAUAGAAGCAUAUUUUAUUAACGUACAACAUGGUUGACUGGGUCAAUUUUUUUUCACAAGAAUUCCACCCGAAUCGAAAAUUUAAAAUUUUCGUAUUUUUCGUAAAAUGAGGCGUUUUAUUAUUACAGGAGAACAAACAAAACAUGAGUGAAUCCAAAUUGUUUUGUGAUCGAUUUUAUGAUUUUUUGAAGUAGAAAAGUGGAAUAUACUAUUUAAGUUUCUCCAGAAUUUUAUAUAUUCCAUCUUACAUUGAUCGAUGAUCUGCAAACUUGCUCAAUAACCGUUUCACAAAAGAAAAACAAGAAAUAAACUAAACAGACAGUACUUUACCACUGUUGAAUUGCAACUGACUUAAGUUUUUCGAGUUGUUUAAAUUAGUUAGCUUAAAAAUAAACGAGAAACAGGAUAAAAACCUUAACACACAUCUACGGUAGUACGAGAUGAAAUAAUACCUGUAAAUCAGCCCACGUCUGCAGUCUUCGUUCAUAUUUCGCAUUCUCGUAAAGCUACAUACGCUGAACACAGUUACCAAAGCUGCCAUGUCAUAACGUGAUCGAAAUUAUUUUAACCAAAAAAAAAAAAAAUUAUAAUAAUUUUAGAGCCGUUGCGCUUUAGGCGAAGUUGUUUCAUAAUGAUUUUGACCCAAAAAAUGAUUUUAGAGCCGUAGCGCCUUCAGUAAAGUCGUUCCAUAAUUAUUCGCCGUUUUUUAGAAAUUGUGUAAUGUUGGAUUAAUGG